CCUACGGGGUGCAGCAGUGGGGAAUAUUGGGCAAUGGGCGCAAGCCUGACCCAGCAACGCCGCGUGAAGGAAGAAGGCUUUCGGGUUGUAAACUUCUUUUCUGAGGGACGAAGAAAGUGACGGUACCUCAGGAAUAAGCCACGGCUAACUACGUGCCAGCAGCCGCGGUAAUACGUAGGUGGCAAGCGUUAUCCGGAUUUAUUGGGUGGAAAGGGCGUGUAGGCGGGAAAGCAAGUCAGAUGUAAAAACUCAGGGCUUACCCCUGAGACUGCAUUUGAAACUGUUUUUCUUGAUUGCUGGAGAGGCGAGCGGAAUUCCGGGUGUAGCGGUGAAAUGCGUAGAUAUACGGAGGAACACCAGUGGCGAAGGCGGAUUGCUGGACAGUAACUGACGCUGAGGCGCGAAAGCGUGGGGAGCAAACAGGAUUAGAUACCCCAGUAGUC
This 443-nucleotide ribosomal RNA is filed under the name uncultured bacterium. RNAcentral's name for it is "partial 16S ribosomal RNA". It matches the Rfam family "Bacterial small subunit ribosomal RNA", at positions 338 to 795 of the family's 1533-position model. The record is from RNAcentral.